GGUCUUUUGCGUCGGGACUUGGAGUCUGUUCCUUCGUGCUUGGAACAAUGGCCUUCGGUGUAACGUACCUGUUACGUGAAGAUGCUAAGAUGCAAAAGAAAAUACCAAAACAUGGGAGAAUAUUUGCUGAAAAAUUACCUGGCUAACUAAUAUUCUUACCAGCAUCCUGAGGAUUGGUGAAUACUAAUGAAGCUAUCAGUGUCAGCUUCAUUUUGAAUGAGGGGUCGCUGUCUGCCAGUUGAAAAGGGCCAGUUUGCUGUGCCGUUUUUAAGCUGUAACCGUUUCUGGCCAGUCUUAACAAAAUUGACUUGCAUGUUCUAUGGAAAACUGGUGAUCAAGAAAAGCUCUUCAUUUUAUGGACAUGGAAAGAAAACAUACAGAUCAAGAUGGAGUAUUUAUUUUUAAUUUUGCAAAUAGAUUCUGAGCCACAUCAAAUCUCGGUUAAUAUAUCCAUAAGAUUCAAUUCAUUUCUAUUUAGUCGUGUUACACUGCCCUAGAGAGAGUCACACCCUGUUAACUCAUAGGUUAUAUCCUAGAUCUGUUCCUAGAAAUGCAUGUCAAAUUAAGUAUUUGUAGUGAAAUUUUUUUCAGUUAAGUAGCCUUGUAAUCAAAUAGUUCUGGAUAAGUGUCUUAACUUUGAUCACCUGUUUAAAUUUAAAUUGCAUAAUUAUAAUUAAAGCAGAGUGAAAGUUUAUGCUGUUUAAUGGAGAUGAAAACAAUGUGAAAAGACAGGACCUAUUAAUGGGGUGGGGGAGUACCAGGCAUCAAAGUGAUCACUCUGAUUAACUGACUCAGAAUAUUUAGUCUUAAUGUAAUAGCAAUUUGAAAGGAUGUCUAAGCUAAAAAAAAUGAGAGUAAUGAUGAAAAUGAAGAGAGCACAGCAUAGUAGUUAAGGGUCACAAAGAAGGUCACUGAAAAAAAUCUGGGUUAGAACUAGUCCAAUAUUGCAUGAAAUGGAUUUUUGUAAAUAGUAGUAGCAUCUGAUCUAACCAAGGUGAUUAGGUGGCCACUCAUGAUCAUUUUUCCUAAGUAGCUGCAUGAAUAAGUUGUUCCCAAGCCCAUAUCUAAUGUCAUAGUCAAAACACCAAAUUUUUUCCUCAGUGAGCUGUCAUCUUUUUUCCUAAAAUGUUUGUUUUCUUAGCUUAGAGUUUGAUUUUGGACCCAUGCAGCUUAGGAGAGGUUCAUGAGACUGACAAGCCUUUAACUGAGUGGCCAGACAGUGAAUUUGCCUCAAGUAGUAAAACAAUGUAUACAGUGGAUCUCUGGAAAUGUUUCUUGAGCCCAAAUUAAAACACAAAGCACUGAUACCCUAAAGAUUUAAGGGGUUAGUGGUAUAUCCGUACAAUAUUAAACCAGAUACAAGAAAUUCCACAGUGGCUUUGGUUUGUGGGAAAUUACGGGGCCUUGAGGCUUGUUUCAUGAGAAAUUGUGAAAUGAGAAAGAUCAAUGGAUGUAAUGUGUUACACAUUGUGAGUAUCUUGAUAUUACCAAAAGAAAUAAGAAAAACAGACCUUAGAGGUAAACCUGAAGUACACUUUCAGGUAGAGAUUCAAGGAGAUAGUGCAAAUAGAAUGCAGCAAUUGACAAUCUUAGCUGUUACAGCUCCUACAUUUCCUCUUGAUGCUAUAAGAGCAACAAACAAGUAGCAUUGUGUUGGUAAACCUUAUUAGUUUCUUUUGUUAUAUCUAUAUAGAUAUCGGUAAACAGUGUUUAACCUUGCAAUCUACAUCCUUGAAAAAUUUUUUAAACUGAUUUCAAGAGACCGGUUUGUUGUUUCACUUAUACAUUCAAUGGUUGUUUCUUGUGUCUGCAGUACCAGCAAUUGAACCUGCAGCCUUGUUGUAUUGGGACUCCACUAACCAACUGAGCUAUCAGGCUAGGGCUGCAACCUGCAUCUUUGAAUCCCCCUUGUCCAGCUCCAUUUGAAAAUGUUUACCAUGCCUUCUAAGAUCUGUUUUGUUAACUGAUUUAAAUGCCUAGGCACCUUAACUGCCUGGUACUUGGUUGUAUUGUAAGUUUUAAGUGAACAAGGAAUAGUAAAAGACUAAUUGGGAUCCUGCACAAAAUUCAGGCAAAACUAUAUAACUUUUGUCAGAGCUGGCAAACAUAACUUAAAAGGAGGCAAAGUUGUGAAAUAAAAUGAUCCCUCUGAGCUUUUCCUGAAGUUAUGGUUUUGCUCCUUUCCCUCCCAGUCAUUCUUUUAAUGUCACAUUUCCUUAGUUGAUAUAAUCCAAAUCAAAUUGGUAAUGUACAUUUACUUUAUUGCACUGUACAAGGUUCUGCCCAAAAAAAUCAGAUGUAAAAUACUUCCUCUAUCUUCUAUACAUUGGUAGUAUAAAAUACCAAGGAGAGUCAAAAGUGGGCUAUAGAGACACAGAGUACUGUGGGAGACAGGAAUAAUUAAAAUGUCUCUGAAUAGUGAACCAAGUGAAUUUGUUCACUUGGGGCAACUCUAAUGUGAGGAAGACAGAUAUAGGCAUAAGACACUGAAGAUGGUGUGCUCUAGAACCCAAGAGGCAAGCAGGGAGAGUAAGGCUGAAAUGUUAGAAAAGUACCUCACUAAUGCUUUGGGCAAGGAGUUAGAACUGUAAAGAGCUAAUCAUUUGAAUUCCCUAAAAUGUGUUUUCUGUGGAAGGCGUAGUCAGUCAUGUUUAGCUCUAUUGACUACAGGGUCCACACCUGGACAAGGAAUGAGUUGGGUGCAAAAAGGUACAAUUUUAGUGGAAAUUAAACUUCAAAGUUCAUAUAGCAGCUUUAAUUAAACUUACUAGUUGAUUUAAACCCUUUAGUAGACAUCGGGAUGGGAUUUUUCACUUCACACAGUGGAGUUCUUGCUGUUAGUAGUUACAGCUUCCUGGUGUAUGAAUGCUGGGUAAUGAAAGACAAGUACUAGCUAAGACCAAGGACCUUAAGUUAGCUGGGUUGGGGAUUUUAACCCUUCACAAUGGAUUUGCCUCUCAACAGAGAAAUCAAUGGAGACUCAAAAACCCUAGGGACCUAAAAGAAUCAGAUUAGGAUAGAUGGGUGGGCUUGGUUAGGACUGGUUUCAGAAGUGGAAGGCAGACUCUACAUCUCUGGCUUUACUGACUAACCAGUAGGAAUUAUUUUCCCUUUACCUUGCACCAUGCUUCCAGGUUAUCUUAAAAGUUCAGUUGGCUCAGACCUACCAUUUGGUGCUUUCUAAAAUUAGUUCCAUUGCCAGAAACCCAAUAUCCUACUGCACUUGGCUUCCCAAUCAAAUGCCCUCUGAACUGAGGUGCUUCUUAAUCCUUGCUGUUUGCCCAGCCUGUGUAAAAGCUUUUGGCUGUUUUCAUGGUGGUUAUAGCAGUUUCCCACUUAGACCUUUUUUGAAUCGCAGGCUAUUAGCAUAGUCUGCUUAUCUUUCCCCAGUCGUCCUUCCAUGCUUCCUAUCUUUUUCCUCCUGCAGGUUUGUUUUUAAGGUCAAAGUAUAGUAGUACUUAAAGCAUAGUAUUAGGUUGGCCAAAAUGUUGGGGUUUUUUUUUUCCAUAAGAUGGCUUUAAUAGCACUUAGUUGUCUUUAACAUCAUUCAAAACAAUUUUGUUAGAUUGUGUUGUGACAGCUGUCAUAUCAGCGUGCAUUUAAAAAAAAAAAAAGACCAAAAUUGGUGAAUUUUUGUGUAGCUAUUUUAAUAUUGAAGAUGGAAGAAAAUACAUGUCUUGGCAUAUUACACUUUUUUAUUUCAAGAAAGGUAAAAAUGCAACUGAAGUGCAAAAAAGUAAUUUGUACAGUGUAUGGAAAAGGUGCUGUGGCCGAUCAUGUCAAAAGUGGUUUGCAAAGUUUCAUGCUGGAGAUUUGCUGGAUGAUGCUCCAUCCUUGUAUAGACCAGUUGAAGUUAGUAGCAAUCAAACUGACACAUUGAGAACAAUCAACUUUACACCAUGAGGGAGAUAGCAGACAUACUCAAAAGUAUCCAAAUCAAUCAGGUUAAUGGUGAAAAAUGAAAAAUGUGUCUUUUAUAUUACAGAAAAAACCAUACAGACUUUUCAGCCAACACCCUACUUUCAAUUGCCUCACUGAAUAUUGCCACUGCCUCUGGCCUUACUCUACCUCACUGACUGUGUUUUUGGGCAUGUACAGAAAGAUAAGAUCAAAACACAAGUGUGCUGUGAAGUUCAUGAAAUUUUAUGGACCAUCUUGGUUCCAAUAUGAGAACCAGACUCCGUGGCCUCAUCAAGUCCUGCCCUCCCUCCACCCCCUAUCACUUGUCCACUAUUAAGGGCCUGGCAUGCCAUGUGGCUGAGUUAGAAGAGAAAAAAAGGAUCUAAUGUCACAGAAUCCCAAAUG
Long non-coding RNA from Pteronotus mesoamericanus, 4305 nucleotides. RefSeq lists it as uncharacterized. The transcript is spliced from 6 exons. NCBI's taxonomy places the organism in Eukaryota, Metazoa, Chordata, Mammalia, Chiroptera, Mormoopidae. The record is from RefSeq and is a predicted model, not a curated record.